AUUAGGCAAAAAUAUAGCGUGUUAUAGUGUAUUAAAUUGUGUUUUUAAGUGUUUUUAUAUACUUUGGUGUGGUCUGUGUAUUAGAUUGCAUGCUCUGUUGAUACGCUAGGGUGGUCCUUUGCAUAUUUUUUGCAAAGAAACAUAUUAAGCCUUGCCUAGUCAAUCCUAAAGCCCUCAUAACACCCUCUUCAAAAAAUCUACUUUAUCAUCGGCGCACCGCCAGUUCGAGGCCAAGCGCAAGUCGCACUACAACGAGUUCUACGCGGUGAAGCUGGCCCGACAGCUGAUGGAGAAGGACGAGGAGUUGCUGGAGGCCGAGUCGGAGGAGGGCGCCGGCCCGUCCUCGGCUGCCGGGCCGUCCUCAUCGUCUGCCGAGCCGGCCCCGGCCCCUGACUCGGCCCCGUCGACCAGCUCGUAGACGGACGGCCCGCCGAGACCGGCCCGGCGCCGGAGCCCGUCUUUGUAUUGGUUUGGCAGGCGCACUGUGUGUCCGGCCCGGUGCAGCCAUUUGUGAUACGGUUUAGCCAGAACGCUGCUGCUCCUGCUAACGGUGUGACGCGGUGGACGUCACGUCAACACCACGGUCACGUCACUGCAACCGUCAGUCACGUCACGUCUUGUCGCCGGAUCGACAGCCGCCGUGACGGGACCGGGAGGGCAGCCAAGCUGUGUGCCGCAGAGGCUGACGGAGGACUCCUCUAGGACAAAGGAACAAAGGUGGUGGCUCAUCCCACCAUGGUGGUGCCCCGGCGGCUGGCGCGCGCGGAAGCCACUCGUGGUCGCCAAGAAGCGUCAUGCCGGUCCGACCAGCUCUCGGUGGACACAUCCGUUAGCGCCGCGUCAGGCGGGCAGUGCGGCCGGCGGUCGCGCUGGGGAAGGCGGCGUGCCCUAUCGACCCGGCGACGCAGUGAUGGAGGCCGCCGGCGGACUCAGACGGCCGCGGGACACGUAUGCGAUACCUCGCUGACCGAGAGCCGGCCGGCCACCCGCUCCGGCGCGGAGCCGAGGCUUUAUUUACCGCUGGGGACGGACAUGCGCGUACCGCUGGGGGCCCGUGCUGAUUCCGCCGACGGCGUUGUCCUAUGAUGCUGCAGUGCAGCGCGUACUCUGUAGAGUGUAGGGACGUAAGAGGCAUCAAAUUACGGCGCGGAAGUGCGCCAGCUCGGAAAGUCGCCGGCCGCAACCGGCCUUCUGAUACAAACUCGGUACCUACUUCCAGGCCGCCGGCUCGAGGGACCGGCCCAGUGCCGACGCCAGGCUCAUCAGUGGAAUAGCGCGCUAGGAUGGAUGUUAUGAAUGUAAUUGUAAAGUCAACGACUCCGCGCGGGCCUGCGUUAGACGAUCGAUAAUGUCCUGUUCGCUCCUCGUGUAUGUCUGUGUUUGUUUGGGUGCGUGUGCAGUGCAGAUUGUGUGGGUGGGCGUAUCACAGAUAGCGUCUGAUUGUCGCCGGUGUAGCAAGGAUUGACCUUCCGAAUAAUCCUCGCUGAUUGUCGUUGCAAUAAACGUCGAAUGCUGGUGUCACA
Long non-coding RNA from Amphibalanus amphitrite, 1523 nucleotides. RefSeq lists it as uncharacterized. The transcript has 2 exons. Lineage: Eukaryota; Metazoa; Arthropoda; Thecostraca; Balanomorpha; Balanidae. The record is from RefSeq and is a predicted model, not a curated record.